This 733-nucleotide long non-coding RNA is filed under the name Phasianus colchicus (ring-necked pheasant). RNAcentral describes it as "lncRNA (ENSPCLG00000020102.1)". The record is from RNAcentral. Lineage: Eukaryota; Metazoa; Chordata; Aves; Galliformes; Phasianidae.
GUGGCUAUGGGGCAGUUAUAGGGCAGUUAUAGGGUAGUUAUAGGGCAGCUAUGGGGCGGCUAUGGGGCAGCUGUGGGGCAGUUAUAGGGUAGUUAUGGGGCGGCUAUGGGGCAGCUAUGGGGCGGCUAUGGGGCGGCUAUGGGGCGGCUAUGGGGCAGCCAUGGGGCAGCGAUGGUGCGGCUAUGGGGCAGGUAUGGGGCAGCUAUGGGGCAGUUAUAGGGUAGUUAUGGGGUAGUUAUGGGGCAGCUAUGGGGCAGCCAUGGGGCGGCCGUGGGGCGCUCACCGCACGCAGCGGCCGUGCAGGAGGAAGAAGCCGUCCCUGCAGCUCUGGCAGCGCCGCCCCACGGAGCCCCGCGCGCAGCCCACGCAAACGGCCUCCGCCUCCAACGGGCCGAAACGCAGCCAGCGCCGCGCCUGCGCGGCACAGCGUGGGGACAGCGGGGACACGUGGGGACACAGAGGGACACAGAGGGACCAUAGGAACCAUAGGGACACACAGAGACACACAGGGACACACAGGGACCAUAGGGACACAUACGGACACAUGGGGACACAGAGGGACACAGAAGGACACAUGGGGACACAUGGGGACACAUGGGGACCAUAGGGACACAGAGGGACACGUGGGGACACAUGGGGACACAGAGGGACCAUAGGGACACAGAGGGACACGUGGGGACACAUGGGGACACAGAGGGACACAUGGGGACACAUAGGGACACAGAGGGACACA